Molecule: ribosomal RNA, 462 nt
Filed under: uncultured bacterium
Lineage: Bacteria
Description: partial 16S ribosomal RNA
Rfam family: Bacterial small subunit ribosomal RNA
Source: RNAcentral
GACGAACGCUGGCGGCGUGCUUAACACAUGCAAGUCGAGCGGAAAGGCCCUUCGGGGUACUCGAGCGGCGAACGGGUGAGUAACACGUGAGUAACCUGCCCCAGACUUUGGGAUAACCCUCGGAAACGGGGGCUAAUACCGGAUACGACACAGCUUCGCAUGGGGUCUGGGUGGAAAGUUUUUCGGUUUGGGAUGGGCUCGCGGCCUAUCAGCUUGUUGGUGGGGUGAUGGCCUACCAAGGCGACGACGGGUAGCCGGCCUGAGAGGGCGACCGGCCACACUGGGACUGAGACACGGCCCAGACUCCUACGGGAGGCAGCAGUGGGGAAUAUUGCACAAUGGGCGGAAGCCUGAUGCAGCGACGCCGCGUGAGGGAUGACGGCCUUCGGGUUGUAAACCUCUUUCAGCAGGGACGAAGCGUAAGUGACGGUACCUGCAGAAGAAGCGCCGGCCAACUACGUG